RNAcentral lists this microRNA precursor (175 nucleotides) under Marmota monax (woodchuck). Lineage: Eukaryota; Metazoa; Chordata; Mammalia; Rodentia; Sciuridae. The record is from RNAcentral.
CCCAAACCACUGGCAUUACAUGUGUGUGCCGCUGUGCCCAGCAAUACUGCUGUUUUUAAAGUUAUCUCUUGGAACAUAAUUUUCACAUAAUAGAGUAAUAUAGAUUUAGAUGUAUUAAGAAAUUUACACUGAAGCUGGGUGCAGUGGUACACACCUGUAAUCCCAGCAGUUUGGG